Molecule: long non-coding RNA, 1293 nt
Organism: Acyrthosiphon pisum (pea aphid)
Lineage: Eukaryota; Metazoa; Arthropoda; Insecta; Hemiptera; Aphididae
Exons: 3
Source: RefSeq, a predicted model, not a curated record
GUGUGCGUGGUAAUUUGUCACCGGCGGCCGGCGGGUAGCUCAGAGUGUGGUUGGAGGGUGUGAGGGUCGUGCAGCGGUCUUCGGCGGUGGCGAGGGCGGUCUUUUUUUCGGAGUGUGCCCGGGCCUGCAGAAACGGUAUUUAAAGAGCUCGCUCGCCCGGCUAACGUCAGUCCGUCGCCGUCAUUUCUUACUCGCUGUAGUUCUCUGCACUAUUUCUCAUCGGUGGCGGCGGCACAACUUUCGACUGCAACACUUACACCUACGAUUCAGUACUGGUGGUUAGCCGCCCUGAGUACGUUCGAGUCACUAUUGGGCUCAGCCGACCGCCACUGACGAUCAGUUCAAGGACGACGACAACUACAACCACAGGUCGUGGGCAACUUCCACUCGUUCUAGGGGGCAACUUCCGCUGGUCUUAGUGCGCAACUUCCGCAGGUCCUAGGGCCGCUUCUGCUACGCCGUCUGCCUGCCGUCAACCAGUCGCCUAUUGCCGGUCUACUCUAUAUCUAUACGACUACAAUAUGGUGGACUUGGUCAAUAUCGUGUUCAUCUUCAUGACAUGUGUUAGCUGUAUCUAUAACUUCGACUCCUACUACGACAACGCCUUUGACAUUUCAACUAAUGGGGAAAUUGAGGAAUCACAAAUGGCACUUGACCCACUUAUGGCAUACCUAUAUUGGUGUUGGGAAAACAGUUUUUUCUCUAAGGUUUUAAUGGCGGGGGUGAAGAUAUUCGAAAUUGUGUUCCUCUUGUACGUUUUUCGAGGGGUUUUGCUGGUGAUAUUCGACGUUUUGGAUCAACCGCUCCACCAGUUACAACAACAGCAAUGACAAGGCCGGUAAACACUUUUAGUCCACCGUCGUCAUACAGCUGGUUGUAGGCAUACAUCUAUCGUCUAUCGUCUAUUGAAAUUGAAAACAUAUACAUCGACAUCGCUGAAUUAUUUAUUUUAACACUAAAAAGUUUAAAAAUCGUUUGUCGUGAUUAUGCUUUAUCGCGCGUACUUAUUAUCUUACUGAUAAAAUUAUCAUAAUUUGUUUUCCUAAUACUAAUAUGUUUUAUUGCUACAUCGUUAACCUAUGAUUAAUUCUCAUACUGAAUUUAAUUCAAACAUUUUAAUUUUGAACUUAUAUGUUACAAAAGUACAAUACUGUUAUAUUAAUAAAUUAUAUAUAUUAUAUUAUAGGCACAAUAAUUAUAAUAUUAUACUAUAGUCUAUUAGCAUUUAUAAUUUAUUGUUUUACAUUAUAUAUUUAUAAGCUUGCACAAUAAACCAAUAUGGAUUUUACGAUA